Molecule: ribosomal RNA, 579 nt
Filed under: uncultured bacterium
Lineage: Bacteria
Description: bacterial SSU rRNA
Rfam family: Bacterial small subunit ribosomal RNA
Source: RNAcentral
CCUACGGGAGGCAGCAGUGAGGAAUAUUGCGCAAUGGCCGAAAGGCUGACGCAGCGACGCCGCGUGAGGGAUGAAGUCCGUUAGGAUGUAAACCUCUUUUGCAGGGGAUGAAUGUUCCCGAUUUAUCGGGACUUGACCGUACCCUGCGAAUAAGGAUCGGCCAACUACGUGCCAGCAGCCGCGGUAAUACGUAGGUGGCUAGCGUUAUCCGGAUUCACUGGGCGUAAAGCGCGUGCAGGCGGUUCCGUAAGUCGGACGUGAAAGCUCCUGGCUUAACUGGGAGAGGUCGUUCGAUACUGCGGGGCUUGAGGUCGGGAGAGGGACGUGGAAUUCCCGGUGUAGUGGUGGAAUGCGUAGAUAUCGGGAGGAACACCAGUGGCGAAGGCGGCGUCCUGGCCCGCACCUGACGCUAAGACGCGAAAGCGUGGGUAGCGAACGGGAUUAGAUACCCCGGUAGUCCACGCUGUAAACGGUGGAUACUAGGUGUUGGUGGCUAUCGUCAUCAGUGCCGUAGCUAACGCGUUAAGUAUCCCGCCUGGGGACUACGGCCGCAAGGCUAAAACUCAAAGGAAUUGACGG